RNAcentral lists this ribosomal RNA (441 nucleotides) under Antarctic fungal sp. GI949. RNAcentral describes it as "eukaryotic LSU rRNA". The stretch from base 19 to 172 matches the Rfam family "5.8S ribosomal RNA". The record is from RNAcentral. Lineage: Eukaryota; Fungi.
AAUUUUAUAACAAAAUAAAACUUUCAACAACGGAUCUCUUGGCUCUCGCAUCGAUGAAGAACGCAGCGAAAUGCGAUAAGUAAUGUGAAUUGCAGAAUUCAGUGAAUCAUCGAAUCUUUGAACGCACCUUGCGCUCCAUGGUAUUCCGUGGAGCAUGCCUGUUUGAGUGUCAUGAAUACUUCAACCCUCCUCUUUCUUAAUGAUUGAAGAGGUGUUUGGUUUCUGAGCGCUGCUGGCCUUUAGGGUCUAGCUCGUUCGUAAUGCAUUAGCAUCCGCAAUCGNNCNUCGGAUUGACUUGGCGUAAUAGACUAUUCGCUGAGGAAUUCUAGUCUUCGGACUAGAGCCGGGUUGGGUUAAAGGAAGCUUCUAAUCAGAAUGUCUACAUUUUAAGAUUAGAUCUCAAAUCAGGUAGGACUACCCGCUGAACUUAAGCAUAUCAAU